GAACCAGAACUUUGUGUUUCCUCUCAUUUUAAAGUAUUGCUUUUUCUCAUAUUUAUGGAAUAAUUAAAAGUCCAAAAGUCAGCAUUACUUUGUUUUCUUCUCUUGCUUGAAUUAUUAGACAUUUGCAUGCUUCAACUGCCAAAGUAUAUUAAGCUCUCUGUCUAUCCCCUUUCUCUUUCUCAUUAGUAUUUUUUUUGUGUAAGCUCUUUCAUCAAUCUUCCCUUGAGUCAUAAAUUUUAAUCUUUUCUAUAUUUUAAAAUUGAAGUGAAAUGGCCAGUCCUUCUAUCUGUACUGCUUAGCUCCAGUUUCUUCUAACUCCUUCCCUGAUACCAGAGGUCUUCCAACUUCACAUUUUAUCUUUAACAAAUAAUUAUUCCCAAAGCAUUUAAUCUUCUUGCACAAAGAUUGUCAGUACACUGUUUACUUUCUUUGUAAACUCAUAUGGUAGGGAAAAAUCAACUUUACCUUUCUGAUAUAAACAUUUCUGAUAACACAAAAAAUGGUCAUUGAGGUGAGGGUGAUGGUGCUAAGGGUAAAAGUGAUGAUAAAUAAAAGCAUAGAAGAUUGAAAUAUUAUUUAAUUUGGUUAACUUGUGUUCUUAAAACUGAAUAGUGUGAAGGGCAAGUUUAUCAGAGACUGCUGUGGCUUAAGAAUCCUGUUUAUGAAGUAAAAAUAAUAAACACAGAGACACAGAGAAUCUGACUUUCCACAUACGUUACCCAGAUGUGCUUUCUGUUUUUUCUUUUGCCAGAAGUCAGCUGUCAAUAGCAUCACUGUCUGCACCUUCUGUCUUCUGUGCCUCAGGAAGAGCUAAGUUUCCUUUGGCAAUUUGCUGUCAUGAGGUCCAUCUCUAAGAAACAAAAUAUGGAGCUCCAGAGCACUGCAGAGCACAGCUAGUGCUAUUCCUUUUCAUUACUCCAAUAACUGGAAAAUCUCACAGCAGAAAACAAACAAACAAAGCAAAAUGAAAGAAAAAAAAAAAAAAGAAAGAAAGAAAAAAAAAAGAAAAAAAAAGGCAAAAAAAAAACAGACUUGCAUUUUGUGCACAUUUGGAAAAGAAGCUGAUGACAACAUCAUUAUAAGAAAGCAGUAAAGGUUAUCAGUUUGACAUUGCAUGUACUCUUUAGCAAAAACAAAUUUAGCUCAAGUAUUUGCAGAUGAGGAUUUCAGAUGGUCUCCCGAUGGAUCUUUAAUUGAGAGUUCCAGUCUCUGUUUGCACACUGAAGCAUUUCCUUUGUUUCUUCUGCAGAUCUUUUCUAGCAGUUUUCACUGCUUCCCCAUGAGGACAGAACCACAUUUGAAUGCCAGAAAUGUGGUUGGUCUUUUGUUUGUUUGUUUUGGCCGCAAUAUGCUUUCUAUUUUUUUCCUGCUCAUUCUCAGUCCCUUAUUUAAGUCUCUGAGUUUUUGACAGCAUGUCUGAGGAUUGCUGACCUUUCAAACCAGGCUUGGAUUAAAAAGAGAAUGAAGACAAUUUUAGCCCCCACCUUUAUCUCCCAUUCUACUUCUGCAUGUUGACAAAUGCCUUCUCUCUCUCCCCCUUGAUCUGUUUCUCCCACUGCUUGCCAGACUUUGUCUUUUGGCCCCCUGAAUACCUGCAGCCAGCAUGGGGACUCCCAAAGCAGGAGGCCUCCAGCACUGUGCACCACUGAUGAUUCAAGACCAUGUCCCUGGGAGUCCACUAUGAGGAGAAGGGAAGGGAACAUUCUUCUUUCCCUAGAUGUGCCUGCAGCACCACCAUUCCCUCUAGCCUCUUGUUAUAUCUAGAUUGUUAUCAUCCCUGCUUUGAAUGUGUAUGUUUUAAAAAUGAACAACAACAAAAAAAAUCCCAACACCUUUUGAAUACAGCUGUGGCACUACUUGUCCCAGGAAGCAUUCUGACCGCAGGGGCUCUUUGUACAGUUAGGUACAAUUUUUUGUACCCGUUUUCAUUUUUGUUCAGUGUUAGCUGCAAAUAAAACAUAAAAAAAAAUGAAAUGCUGAACUCAUUUACAGCAGCUUGAUGACUAUUUUUCCAUUAAUUUAACAUUCUGAAUUUCAUAACAUCAUAUAUUCCUAAAGACUCUGCUGCUGGUGACCUCCACAACACACUCACUGUGGUUGUGUGGCAAUCAUGAAUAGAGAUUUACAAUGUAUUUUCAGCAAAUAAGGUAAUGUAUAUGAUUAGAAAACAAGGUCAUGAAGUUCACCAAAGACAAAAGCAAAAGAAAAAUGUACCUUUUUUAUGAUCCAGUGUGAAAUACUGCUUCUUACAAUA
Molecule: long non-coding RNA, 2254 nt
Organism: Oxyura jamaicensis (ruddy duck)
Lineage: Eukaryota; Metazoa; Chordata; Aves; Anseriformes; Anatidae
Exons: 2
Source: RefSeq, a predicted model, not a curated record